UAUUAUUUGCGCUUCUCUCUCUCUCUCUCUCUCUCUUUUUCUUUCUAAAGACAAAACCGUGGAUCUAUCUCCUCCCUAUAUUGCAUUAUUUUUGGUUGUUGGUGUACCUGUUAUCAUUCAUCUCUUCAUAAUUAAAUCCAUGCUUUUAUCUUCUUCAUCUUGUUGUUAGAUAGAUCUAAUCUCUAUCUAUAGAAAUUUGGAAAACUUUUCUCUUUCUUCCUCGGAUCAGAAAGAGAAAUGAGCUCUCUUCGAGCAGAUCCGCCGACCUCCAAAAUUCACCCAGAAGCAGAAGCAGAAGCAACUACUAGUUGUUUUUGUUCUUCUUCAAAAAUCGACCAUUUCGACCGCCUUCCUGACUCUCUUCUAUUAUUCGUUUUCAACAAAAUCGGCGAUGUCAAAGCUCUUGGUCGUUGCUGUGUUGUUUCUCGCCGCUUCCACUCUCUCGUCCCUCAGGUCGAUAACGUUGUUGUCCGUGUAGACUGUGUCAUCUCCGAUGACGACACCUCCUCUUCUUCCUCCUCCAUCAAGUCACACUCUUCUUCUUCUUCUGGCUUCUCCUCCAUCUUUCGUUUAGUCUUCGGUGGCAUUUCCAAACCCUUCCAAGCUCUGAGUCAGAUGUUUGGACCCAAGGUCAAUUCGCGAAAUGGAAAUGGGCCUUCCCUUUCUGUCGCCGCCGAUGAUGAUAUGGAGCUGGAUCAAGCUGGUGUCACCCAUCAUUCUCCAACUCAGGUUCUUAAGAAUUUUAAUGAGAUUCGCUUUCUAAGAAUCGAGUUACCCAGUGGGGAAUUGGGAAUUGAUGAUGGGGUUCUUUUAAAAUGGAGGGCUGAUUUCGGAUCUACCCUUGAUAAUUGUGUUAUUCUUGGUGCUGCUUCUGUCAUUACCAAUAAUAAGAUUUCUUCUGCUAUGCAACAAGAAAAUGCUGCUGCUGUUGCCGAUGAUGAUGAUAAUGGAAGCAUACCGGAGUCAUUUUACACCAAUGGGGGAUUGAAGUUGAGAGUUGUGUGGACUAUUAGCUCUUUAAUUGCUGCAUCUGCCAGGCAUUAUUUGCUUCAACCAAUUAUUGCUGAGCAUAAGACUCUUGAUAGUUUGGUCUUGGCUGAUGCUGAUGGGCAGGGAGUGUUGUGUAUGAAUAGGGAGCAAUUGGAAGAGUUGAGGGUCAAGCCGUUAUCGGCUUCUUCUGCUUCCAAGAGGACUCUUGUGCCUGCACUUAAUAUGCGCCUUUGGUAUGCUCCUCACUUGGAAUUGCCUGAUGGGGUUGUGUUGAAAGGUGCAACAUUGGUUGCUAUUAGGCCUAGUGAACAGGCUGCUACUAAGAAGGAUGUGUCUGAUGUCUCCUGGGUCUCUACCACGUUUGAGGAGCCUUAUGGUACAGCAGCUAAGAUGCUGGUGAAGAGAAGGACUUACUGCUUGGAGAUGAACUCAUUCUGAUUAGAAUAAUGGGCCUGAGAUUAAUGUUAUCUUAGUUGCAUACAUAAUUUCUUAGCCAUGACCAUGUGCGUGCCUUCUUCUCUCAUCUUUGUGAUGCAUGCCGGUUGCCCUCUUGUAGGAAAGUGGGAGAUUUGUUUUUCAAUGCAAGUCAGUGAUCUAGCCUGUCACUACUGUGACCAUUAAAUUAAGGGGAGGCGCAAUGGUUUAAGGGAAAGGGGAUGUAAAUGAUAUUUCGAGUGAAGAAUCAGAAAACAAUUUUGCUUUAUGCUUUGGCCAUAGCCAGAUGCAGUGUCUCAUGAAGCUGAAUCUUUCUUUGGACCACCACCGGGAUCCCAUCCUCCGUUGAUGAUGCCCUGCAGUCUUUUUAACCUUUUGUGCAUGAACUGACAGCUAAAAUGCAUCUGCUGCUUGUUUUAAUUUCAGGCAUAUGCUUGUAACGUUCACACAUGCAACUAGAUGAAUGUAGCAAGUGCUUUGAGUUUGUAGUGAUUUACUUUAAUUUAGAAUCUAUGUAUGUGAAUAUUGUAGGUAUGAAUAUGCUGCGUUUAUGCUACACUUUUUUCAUACAUUAAGCAAUGUGCUUUGGGUUAACCUUAAAA
This is an RNA transcript of Populus trichocarpa (black cottonwood), 2027 nucleotides long. It is a transcript of the gene named F-box protein At5g46170, with no coding region annotated. The record is from RefSeq and is a predicted model, not a curated record. The transcript is spliced from 3 exons. Lineage: Eukaryota; Viridiplantae; Streptophyta; Magnoliopsida; Malpighiales; Salicaceae.